CGUAGGGAGCAAGCGUUGUCCGGAAUCAUUGGGCGUAAAGCGCGCGUAGGCGGCCCUGUAAGUCCGUUGUGAAAGUACAAAGGACUCAACCUUUGAAGCCGAUGGAUACUGCAGGGCUAGAGUCCGGAAGAGGCGAGUGGAAUUCCUGGUGUAGCGGUGGAAUGCGCAGAUAUCAGGAGGAACACCAAUAGCGAAGGCAGCUCGCUGGGACGGUACUGACGCUAAGGCGCGAAAGCGUGGGGAGCGAACAGGAUU
This 255-nucleotide ribosomal RNA is filed under the name uncultured bacterium. RNAcentral describes it as "partial 16S ribosomal RNA". It matches the Rfam family "Bacterial small subunit ribosomal RNA", at positions 526 to 779 of the family's 1533-position model. The record is from RNAcentral.